UAUAAUUGACUGUACAAAGGUAGCAUAAUCAAUUGGUUUUUAAAUGAAAUCUGGAAUGAAAGGAUUAAUGAAAUAUAUACUGUCUCAAAUAUAUUUUAUGAAUUUAAAAUUUUAAUAAAAAUGUUAAAAUUUUUUUAUGGGACGAUAAGACCCUAUAGAAUUUUAUAUAAAUUUAUUUUUAUAAUUAAUAUAAAAUUUAAAUUUAUAUUUGAUUGGGGGGAUUAUUAAAUUUAAAGAACUUUAAUUUUUGCUAACUCAGAUUAGAGAAAAUAUUUUGAUCUUGAAUUUUAAAUUAUUAGAGUAAAUUACCUUAGGGAUAACAGCGUAAUAUUUUUUUAUAGGUCGUAUAGAAAAAAAUGUUUGCGACCUCGAUGUUGAAUUAAGAUAAAUUUUAAAUA
RNAcentral lists this ribosomal RNA (398 nucleotides) under Axestotrigona togoensis. RNAcentral describes it as "partial 16S large subunit ribosomal RNA". The record is from RNAcentral. Lineage: Eukaryota; Metazoa; Arthropoda; Insecta; Hymenoptera; Apidae.